This 2245-nucleotide long non-coding RNA is filed under the name Homo sapiens (human). Its description in RNAcentral is "non-protein coding lnc-AKR1B1-3:1". The record is from RNAcentral. Lineage: Eukaryota; Metazoa; Chordata; Mammalia; Primates; Hominidae.
CGGGGAGCAUCUUAGCUGUUUGAGGUUCUAGAAAGCGUUUAACGUCUUAAAAGAAACACCUGCGGGUGAAGACAGGUGUCAGCGGACUCUUGGAAGAGAGGAGGUGAUGUUUCUUUUACUUAUGGGAAAUUUAGGGAUUGAAACCUGAAGACGAAGCCGAGGUAUCCUCCCAGAAGAAGCUCCUUUCGCACAAAUUACUCGUGGUUGAAAGUCUUAAGUCGUGAUUAAAACAAAUGCCUUUAAAGUGCCCAAUUUAUAGGCAGUAACGCAACCUUACUUUCUCUUACCGCUUUUAUAGGGAUUCCCCUAGGCAGUUUGCUGACAGUAUUUUAGGUGGGGAAGAAAAGUGAUUAAUGGAAUGCCCUAAAAGCUUAUUGCACAGAGGAAGGGAGGCUAGAGUGGAAUGAGAGAAUGACAAAUUUGGAGGCGACAAUAACUGAACAAGAGAAAUCUAUGAAAACACCGGAAACCUGGCACGAGGCCUUAAAAGCUUCUAAGCAGGCUUGAACUACCACACGAGGUUUUGAAGCAUAUGUGUCAGAACUCUUGGGUGGGCGGGAAAGAUAAGGAAUGUUAUGGGAGAUUCCCUUCUUAGAAGCUAUCCUAAGUAGUGUUUCGUGUCCUCCUGUGAGUUUUUCCUGUUUCAUCCUCCUAACAAAUGCAUUAGGUUUGUGACACGCAAGCAAGUCCUCAGAAUAAAUUAUACAUACAGUUGAAAAGAUAAUCUUUCCACAUUUGAAAUUCUGUGACACACUCUUUAUUGAACUCAUUAAGACCUAAUCGUAGCCAGUUCUGUAUCUCAUUUAUCCAUGUUAGAGCAUGACAGUUCCUCCUGGGAUAUCAACAGAACUUUACUUCCGGGACGGCACUAAUCCGAGGCUUGACAGGUCCCAGCAGGUGAUAGGUCUCACCUAGUGAUAGUUAGAAUUUAACUUGCACAAGAUUAACUAGAGUUCAGGCCAGAACAGCUGGAAGGGGCAGCUUCCAAAUCUUAUACAUUUGCCCUCUUGCUUUUUUCUCAAUAUCAGUUGAGGACAAAGUAAGGAGAAAGCUUUUCUUCUACAGUGUAAUAAAGCUCCUAUUCAGAGUGCCCACCAUCCAUACUCCGGAGGCUAAUGACAGUCAUUACCAAGUGACAGUCUUGUGGCAUUUGGCAUUUAGGGCUACUUAGUCUGGACUUAAGGGCGCCUACUCAUUGGAUUUAAGUUUACUGUUGUUAUGGACACCCAUGGAAUGCUAGCUUGUCACAUAAAACCUUAAUAUCAAACAUCACUUGCCUUUUAGAAUCAUUCGCAAGAGUAUGUGGCUUAUGAAUGAGUCAUUUUGAUAUAAGAUGGAAGCUUAUAUCAGUGAUUCUGUCUAGAAGGAAUUAAAAAGCAGAUUUUCAUCAGGAGCAAGCAUGUUUGUAAGACAAAUGUGCACAGAGGCUAACAGAAUUUCAGGAGUUACUUUUGCCCUAUGGCAAGAUUGUUCUCCAUACUUAAUUAUGUUACAGUAUCAUAUCCUGAACCCUGUGUCCUGGUCUAUUCGAUGAGCUGUCUCUCUUAUGAAUUUUUAAAUAACGAGGUCGUGGUUCACAAAGAUGAUCAUAAAUCCAUUUAAGGCAAAGAUGAACUCCAAAGAAUAUUAGACUUGUACAAACUUAGUACUUGACAGGGCUUUGGAAAUUAAACUCUAGCUCCUUGUUGUACAGAUAAAGAAACUGAAGCUUAAGUGAUGUGCUCAGAAUUACUUGGUUGGGGACAAAUCCUGGGCUAGGACCCAAGGUUGCUAAUUCAUAUAAUUCUGGGAAGAUGCUUCCUCUUCCUGCUGCCUUCUCCUCCUCACCCCAAAAGCAAUGUAUUUUUUAAAUUAAGAUUAAUUUUAGGAUUCACUUCCAUUGAAGACCAGUCAUGAGGACUUCAGUUCUGAUACAGCAAGUGAUAUAGAUACUAUGAAAAUAAUUCAGUGUCAUCAAACAGCUUUUGAUGUAGUCUCACUUUUAUCCAAACAAGAAAUGAAAAGCAAUAAAUUAUUAUAGCUAUGUUGUCUCUUUGUCUUCCUUUCUGUUACAGGUGUAUAUCAAAAAGUCAGUAUUAACCCAUGUGAUACUUUGAGUUUUAGUUGAAAAUUGUCUUCCUUGUGACCUGAAUAAACCACUAUUUUAUUGAUAGCAUACAUACCUGGUCAAAAUAAUUUCACAGUUAUGUGCACAGAGCCUCUAGCCUUUUCCACGUAUGGCUGAAUUGGUCCACCGUGCAUCAAA